AGAGUUUGAUCCUGGCUCAGAAUCAACGCUGGCGGCGUGCCUAACACAUGCAAGUCGAACGCGAAAGUGGAGCAAUCCAUGAGUAGAGUGGCAAACGGGUGAGUAACGCGUGGGCGACCUACCUUCGAGUGGGGGAUAACAUUCCGAAAGGAGUGCUAAUACCGCAUGACAUCCCGUGUUUGGAUACACGGAGAUCAAAGCCGGGGAUCGCAAGACCUGGCGCUUGAAGAGGGGCCUGCGUCCGAUUAGCUAGUUGGUGGGGUCACGGCUCACCAAGGCUCCGAUCGGUAUCCGGCCUGAGAGGGCGGACGGACACACUGGAACUGAGACACGGUCCAGACUCCUACGGGAGGCAGCAGUGGGGAAUUGUUCGCAAUGGGCGAAAGCCUGACGACGCAACGCCGCGUGGAGGAUGAAGACCUUCGGGUCGUAAACUCCUUUCGACCGAGACGAAUUCCCUCCGACCUAACACGUUGGAGGGGUGACAGUAUCGAGGGAAGAAGCCCCGGCUAACUCUGUGCCAGCAGCCGCGGUAAUACAGGGGGGGCAAGCGUUGUUCGGAAUUACUGGGCGUAAAGGGUUUGUAGGUGGCUCGCUAAGUCAGACGUGAAAUCCCUCAGCUUAACUGGGGAACUGCGUCUGAUACUGGAAAGCUUGAGUGCAGGAGAGGAACGCGGAAUUCCAGGUGUAGCGGUGAAAUGCGUAAAUAUCUGGAGGAACACCGGUGGCGAAGGCGGCGUUCUGGACUGCAACUGACACUGAUAAACGAAAGCCAGGGGAGCAAACGG
RNAcentral lists this ribosomal RNA (788 nucleotides) under uncultured bacterium. RNAcentral's name for it is "bacterial SSU rRNA". It matches the Rfam family "Bacterial small subunit ribosomal RNA", at positions 8 to 775 of the family's 1533-position model. The record is from RNAcentral.